Molecule: ribosomal RNA, 402 nt
Filed under: uncultured bacterium
Lineage: Bacteria
Description: bacterial SSU rRNA
Rfam family: Bacterial small subunit ribosomal RNA
Source: RNAcentral
UGGGGAAUCUUGCACAAUGGGUGCAACCCUGAUGCAGCGACGCCGCGUGAGCGAUGAAGCCCUUCGGGGCGUAAAGCUCUUUCGACCGGAACGAUAAUGACGGUACCGGGAGAAGAAGCUGCGGCUAACUACGUGCCAGCAGCCGCGGUAAUACGUAGGCAGCAAGCGUUGUUCGGAGUUACUGGGCGUAAAGAGUGCGUAGGCGGCUUUCUAAGUUCGGUGUGAAAUCUCCCGGCUUAACUGGGAGGGUGCGCCGAAGACUGGGAAGCUGGAGUGUGGGAAAGGCAGGCGGAAUUCCUGGUGUAGCGGUGAAAUGCGUAGAUAUCAGGAGGAACACCGGCGGUGUAGACGGCUUGCUAGACCAUAACUGACGCUGAGGCACGAAAGCGUGGGUAGCAAACA